This 30-nucleotide non-coding RNA is filed under the name Rattus norvegicus (Norway rat). Lineage: Eukaryota; Metazoa; Chordata; Mammalia; Rodentia; Muridae. The record is from RNAcentral.
UUGUUGUUAAACUCUGAUCAACUGCCUGAC